AGCGAACGCUGGCGGCAGGCUUAACACAUGCAAGUCGAGCGGGCACUUCGGUGUCAGCGGCAGACGGGUGAGUAACACGUGGGAACGUACCCUUUGGUUCGGAAUAACGCUGGGAAACUAGCGCUAAUACCGGAUACGCCCUUUUGGGGAAAGGCUUGCUGCCGAAGGAUCGGCCCGCGUCUGAUUAGCUAGUUGGUGGGGUAAUGGCCUACCAAGGCGACGAUCAGUAGCUGGUCUGAGAGGAUGAUCAGCCACACUGGGACUGAGACACGGCCCAGACUCCUACGGGAGGCAGCAGUGGGGAAUAUUGGACAAUGGGCGCAAGCCUGAUCCAGCCAGGCCGCGUGAGUGAUGAAGGCCUUAGGGUUGUAAAGCUCUUUUGUCCGGGACGAUAAGGACGGUACCGGAAGAAUAAGCCCCGGCUAACUUCGU
RNAcentral lists this ribosomal RNA (432 nucleotides) under uncultured bacterium. RNAcentral describes it as "partial 16S ribosomal RNA". It matches the Rfam family "Bacterial small subunit ribosomal RNA", at positions 29 to 506 of the family's 1533-position model. The record is from RNAcentral.